RNAcentral lists this long non-coding RNA (10339 nucleotides) under Lynx pardinus (Iberian lynx). The record is from RNAcentral. Lineage: Eukaryota; Metazoa; Chordata; Mammalia; Carnivora; Felidae.
GACCCAGAUUAUGUGCUAUUCUAAACCGUUACUAGACUGCUGCCUCAUCCACUAGGUAUUUCUUUCAGUUGCCAAUUCUUAAUCCAUUAGUGCUUGUACCUUUGACAGCUUUUUGUAUUUCCUGUGUAUACGUUCUCUCAUUAUCUUGUUUUUCCCACCACAGCCCUAAGUCUUAAUGCAGACAAGUUGUUAACUAUUUUUCCUAAUGAUCCUGAUUCUUAAUACAAGUCCUUUCAUGUUAUGGAAUGUUAAUGUUUGUCCUUUACGACUGUAUCUUAACCCUAAAGGAAGACCAGUGAAAUUCUUCAUCACCUUUCCAUUUUGAAAUAGUGAUCAUCAAAAAGAUUACCUUUUAACUGCGGUUCUAACUUUGCUUUAUAGCUUUAAAUAUUGUCAGUUAUUAUUAGCAUCAGUUAUUAACAGCAUUAUUAAUGCCCAUAACCUGCAUUCAAAGCCAUAUUUAAAAACUUAAAGGUAGCUCUCAUGAAAGUUUCCAAAAACAAGAUAAUUUCAUAAUAAUAUUCACGGUACUAAGAGCCAUUUCUUAACAUGGGCUGUAACAGAUAACUGUGAAGUUCUUUUUUCUUAAAGACCAGAGUUUUCCAAGAUUCAUGUUAAAAUCACAGGCAUACUGGGAGCCUAGUUUAACUAGAGAGUGUUCAUGAGGUUUGAUAAGGAAAACUCCCUUCCCCCACGGGGAAAACUGGAAGGGGAGAAGUAUUCAUUGUAUGGGCCCUGAUCCCCUCAUGUUCCCUAGAGUAGCUGUGUGUGGCUGACUUUGUAGCCAUUUGUCCCAUUUCUCGAAUGAAAGAAACAUGGACUUGUAGGUCAUGUCUGAAUUCAAGAUAUUCCUCUACCAAGGGGAUUUGGCAAGUUAUUUGGCCCUUGCCCUUACCUCACAGCAUUUUGUUAAGCAAGUUCUAUUUUUAGCUGUGCAAUUCAAAAUUAGUAUUAGCAUCCAACUAUUUAGAAGAGUUUGAAUUCUACAUUUCCUAUGAACACCGUUCAAAAUACAGCUGUUUCAGAAUACUUCAUGAAAUGAGAUCUGAUUCUGAACAAGAUUUUCAUGAAAACACUGGGCCCUUUGAUUCCAAGUGUUCUCUGGUUUUGCUGCCUCUGCUUAGUUUAAUUCUAACCUAAGUUCAGGAACAGAGCAAAUUGCUAUCCUGUCUGCUUUUAUAUGUCAUCCAAUUCCUUUCCCCUACAUCAGCCAUCACCUCAACCACAUGUGGUUGUAGUGUUUCUAUGUAUGCCUUUGCUACAAUCUCUCAAACAGUAGCUAAUGAUCUAUUUAAAACGUUAAUCACAUGUUCUUCUAAUACAUAAAGCUUCCAAUGGUUUCACAUUUCACUCUGAAUAAAAUACAAACCCCUGACUCUGGCUGUAUGUAAUCCAGUCCUUGCCAGCCUCUUCCCUCAACCAACCUUUCUCUUCCUCAAAUGUGCACAUAUCUAUUCCUGAGUCUUUUGCCCUUGCCGUCCUUUCUUGCUUCGGAGGCUCUCCCAAAUCUUAUUUGAUAGGCUUCAUCAUUCAGGUGCCAUUCUCUCCACCGGGGGUGCAUUCACACCCUAAAAUAAGCUCCCCAGACAUGUUCUAUUCAUCAUGUUCUAUUCCUUAGCACUAAUUUUUUUCAUAAUAACCACUAUCUGAAAUUACCUGAUUUUAUCACUUUUACUCAUAAGAAUAUAAGCUUCAAGAAAGCAGAAGAGUGUGGUUUAUUCAUUAUUGUAUAUUACUCACCUAAUCCUACAACAGUGCCUGACCCAUAAUAGGGCAUGCAACAAAUACUGAGAAAUGAAUGAAUUUCAAUUGAUGCUAAUUCUCUGACAUUUUAAGCUUUCAUCUUUCAAGCAUGAGCAUGUGCUCUUUAUCCAGUUGCCCCUCUGUGAAUGUAUGUAUUCUUUUCACAAGGUUCUAGGUUCCUGGAGCUCACAGUUGAAAGGGGACAGAGACCUAUAAACAAUGGCCUGGGGUAGCAAACUGGUAGGUCAUGGCCAAAUCCUAGCUUGCACAUGUAUCUGGUUUGUGCAAUGUUAGUUUUAAAUGAACUAACUGGUACAGUUUUUAUUGGAAAUAUUCACAUAAAAUCCUAAACUUCCAGCUUCUUUUAAAAAAGUUAAAAUACAUGAGAUCUACAAUCCCUGGCAGCAACUGACUGGCACCAAGUAGCCCUCCGGUUGGGGUGUACACAUUCUAGUGCAUUCCAGUUCCUUCCAUUCCCUAUUCACAACAAUGAAGGCAGGUCUUGUUUUGCAUUUAUCAGUGUGCUGACCAUGGUAUUUUUCUUGAAUCCUGCUCUUUUUGCUCCCUGAUAUACCUGCCUGGUCUUUGCAGUAGACCCCUAACAUCUCAGAGAAUAAUCCAAGACCUAUAUAAAUCCCACAUCUGUGAAUGUGGCAUAGUAUGUAUAGGAUACUAUGUCAACUGAAAAUCAUAUUAUUUACCAUGCCCGGCAUCUCUUUACUGGUCAACCACUGAUAACCAUGGUUAACCUUUCCAAACUGGAAUUCCUCAUUGGAGGAGCUUUUGCAUAGCUGAAGCACUGUGAAAAAAUUCACACAUGGACUCUUCCUGUUUUUAUACAGAGUAUAUAACACAUCAGAUCUUCAUACAGAGUAUGAGGUACAGCAUAAGUCUAAGCCACCAUGAGGUUAAAUAUUCCACCCUAAAUUACAAAACUAAUUUUCUGCUCAAAAUGUAUUAUUUUCUUGGCCCUUUUCAAACCAAGUUUUAUUAAUUUAACUAUUACUGCAACAUUGACUAACAAUGUACAAUGAUGUCACGUUGAAACUGGUUAGUCCUAUCAGACUAUAUUUUACACAUGAGGGAAGUUAAGAGUUAGCAAAUGAACUUUUAACUUACUUGAAAAUAGUGAAAUUGCAAAUGUUAAGUGUCUGCUGUAAUUACAUUUAACCUGAUGAGGGCUACCAUGAUAGGUUUCUACUUAGAGAAAUAAAAGGUAGAGAAAGUCUUGAUGGCUACAUAUGUGGCCAAUAUCUUCACAGAAUAGCUGCUUGCGGGGUGCUUGCUUUCCAGUUGGGAGGCGAUGUUUUUAAAAGCCAAAUCACAUCCAAAGUAAUCUCCAGUACAGUUUAGGGCCAAGCCUGCAGUACAGUAAGUGCUGUGUUUAAAAAAGGAAAAGGGACCACUGUGGCCCAGAGGGCCUUGGAAAGUUUUCAUCGAGAAUAGGGAACGUGGGCUGGCCUAGAACAGGAAGGGCCUGAAGGGCCAAGACGGAAAGGCAAUGUAACAUGGAGGCAGUGUGCGAGGUGUUCGCUGGAGCGUGUGCUGGGGGGACACCAGGCCUGUUGCUCCGGCCAGAGAAGCUGGCACGGGGAGCAGCAUACUUACGGAGUCACACUGCUGGGGGUCAGUGUUUAGCUCCUCCACUUUUUAUCUAUCUAAUUUUGCACACACUACUCAACAUCUCCAAACUUCCAUUUCCCAUUUGAAGAGUUAGUUAUUGAGUCUGCUGUAUUCAGAUGUUAUGAGGAUUAAAAUAAAUAAUGUGUGUGUGUGUGUGUGUGUGUGUGUGUGUGUGUGUGUGUGUGUAUAUAUAUAUAUAUAAUGCAUUUAGCACAGGAGGCUUGUAGUGAAUGUUCACCAGAUGCUACUCUCAUUAUAUCAGUAUCAUCAGAGGCUUGUGGAUGCCACCAGAGAGCCACCGUGUUAAGCAGGUGACUAUUAAUUUCCUAGGAUCGCUAUAACCAAUAUUACCACAUACUUGCUGACUUAAAUUUAUUCUCACAAUUCUGAAGGCUAGAUAUCAAGGUGUUGGCAGGGCUGUGCUCCCUUUGAAGGUUCUAGGGAAGAAUCCUUGGAUUCUCCCUAGCUUCUUGUGGCUCCCAGCCAUUCGUGGCAUUCGUUGGCUUGUAGCUGUGUCACUGCAUUCUCUGCCUCCAUCUUCACGUGGACUUUUUCUCUCUGUGUAUGUCCGCCUUAUAAAGACACCGGUCACUGGAUUUAGGUGUGACCGCAUCUAAACUAAUUACAUCUGCAAAGACACUAUUUACAAAUAAAGUCACACUGUAAGGUUCUAGAUGGACAUGAAUUUGAGGGAGGGUGGGGAGGACUAUUAAACCCACUACAAUGACAUAAGAAAAACAAGUUGAAAGACACUGAAGUGAAUAUUUUUUUAUUUAUUUGAGAGAGAGAGAGAGAGAGAGAACACACACAAGCAGGGGAUGGGCAGAGAGAGAAUCCCAAGCAGGCUCCAUGCUAUCAGCACAGAGCCUGACUUGGGGCUCGAUCUCAUAAACCAUGAAAUCAUGACCUGAACUGAAAUCAAAAGUUGGACGCUCAACCAACUGAGCCACUCAGGCGCCCCUGAAGUGAACAUUUUUUUAACUUUCAUUGUGAAAUAAUUUCAGAAGAAUUCCUGUAUAUCUCUCACCCAGAUUCCCCAAAUGUUAACAUUUUACCUCCCUUGCUUUAUCACUCUCUCUCCCUCUACGGGUGUAUGUACUGGAUUUUCUGAUAUGUUUGAGAGUAAGCUGCAGUGAUGAUGUCCGUUUACCUGUAUUUCAAUGUAUACCCCCUAAAAAUCAGGACAUUUAUCUUACAUAUCUGUAGUAUAAUUAUCAAAGUUAGGAAAUUACAAAAACUAUACUGACCUAUUCAAAUAUUGCCAAUUUUCCUAAUGGCCUUUUCUGGCCCAGGAUCUAAUCUAGAAUCACACAUUCCCUUUAGUUUCGUUUCAUCUGAAAUAGUUUCUCAGUCUUUCAUGACUGUGACAUUUUUUUGUUUGGGGGAGAUUUGUUUUAUUUUUUCCAUUAUAGUUUGAUAAAUUUCAAGCCUCUAAGAACAAUUAUGAGCAGUACAGCUAGUACCUUUCUAUUCGUUACCUGAGACUCACUAAUAGUUGUAUUUUGCUACACUUGUGUCAUCUCUCUAGGCAUAUAUGUAUGUGUAUAUACAUACACACAUAUUUUUGUUUUCUGAACCAUUUAAGUCACUUCACCUUUAAAUAUUUUAGCAUAUAGCACAAACAAUCAAGGACAUUUGCCCACAUUGCCACAAUUUAACUGUCAUCACACUCAGGAAAUUUAGCACCGAUAUAGUUAUGUAAUACACAGUUUAUGUUAGAAUUUUCCAGAUUGUUUUAAAAAUGUGUAUAACUGGGUAUUGGUUGGUUGAUGCAGGAUCCAAAGAUUAUAUAUAGUAUUUAGUUUAAUAUCUCUUAGGCUUCAUUAAUCUAGAAAAGUCCCUGUGGUCAGAUCCAUGUUAAACAUUUUUGGUAGGCACACUACAAAGAUAAUAUUAUGUUCUCAGUGUAACACCAAGCAGGCACAUGUCAAUUUGUCCUAUUAUCAUUGAUAGUAACUUUGAUCAUGUGACUAAGGUGGUGUUCACCAGAUUCCGUCACUGGGAAGGUACUUUCAAUCUGUACUCUAUGGGGUUAUACAUGAAGACUGAAUUUCCUGUUCCUUGACAGUUUUUACCAAUGACUUUAGCAUCCAUUAAUGGUAUUGCCUAAAUCAAGUUUUGUUUUGUUUCGUUUUGUUACUAGUAGUUGGAAAAUGUGAUUCUUCUAUUUCUAGCCUGUUUAAGCAUUUAUUGGUUGGCAUUCUUCUCAUUAUUCCUCUCAUUAUUCAUUCUGAUGCUGGUAUUACCCCAAAUUAGGCCAGUGGAAACUCCUGUAAGCUAGCUCCCUUGACCUUUCAAUAACAUCCUCAUUAGUUUUGGGCAUUAUAUGUUAUUUUCUUUUAAAACAAGAUAAUCCAGGCUCACCUUGUACUUUCUCUGCUUCAACCCUGGAACAAGCCAUUCCUCUAAGAAGUACAGGUUCCCGUUAGUAAGGGACCAAGUUCGGGCAUAAGGUAUGCGUGUUGCUAUCGCGGUGUUACUGCUUCUACAUGGAGGUUUCACAUGAAACCUCCAAUUCUAAUCCAUCACUAGGGGGUUAUUUUCCUCCUUCCUCCCAGUGUAAACCAGUGGUUUUGCAAAUGUCCCUUAACUGAGGUUCGUCCCAUGUUUCCUCAUGACUAGACUCAGGUUUUGUGCUUUGGGUAGGAAUAUGAUAGAAGUGAGUUGUGUCUUUCUCAGUGCAUCAGAUAAGGAGGCACAUGUUGACUGGUUCCAUCACUAACGGAAUUGCUUUUGAUUACUGGUUAAGGCGGUGUCUGCCAGUGUUCUCAGACUAGUUUCCCCUUUGUAAUGAAUAUCUUAUGUGGGGACAGCUUGGGUGGCUCAGUGGGUUGAAUGUCUGGCUUCGGCUCAGGCCAUAAUCUCAUAGUUUGUGGGUUCGAGCCCUGCAUUGGGCUCUGUGCUGACAGCUCAGAGCCCGGAGCCUUCCUCGGAUUCUGUGUCUCCCUCUCUGAGCUUCCCCCACUCACACUGUGUCUCUCUCAGAAAUAAAUAAAAAACGUUAAAAAAAAUAAGUAUCUAAUGUGGGAGAUGCUUCAAGAUCACAUACUGUUUUUCAUCAUAAUUCUGCCUACUAAUUUUAGUACCCAUUGCUUUUAGCCUGAAAAUAAUUAUUCCAGCAUAUAAUAAUAAUUCCAGCAUUCCUUCUUCCAUUUAUUAGUUGGAAUCCCACUGUAAGGAAGAGCUUUCCCUUCUUCGUUUAUCCUUUGUUUAUGUAUAUCAGUAUGGACUCAUUUUGUGGGUUAUAAUCCAUUACUAUCACUAAUUUGUUAUAGUUAUCCCAGAUAUGGCCAACGAGAAAUGCUGUAAGAUAGCUCCCGUGUCCUUUGAGAUAAAUAUUUUUUUAAAUGGUUAGUUAUUUUUGAGAGAGAGAGAGGCAGAGAGCACGUGCGCAUGUGCACACAAGCAGGUGAGGGGCAGAGAUAGAGGGAAACAGAAUCUGAAGCAGGCUCCAGGCUCUGACAGCAAGGAGCCCAAUGCGGGGCUUUAACUCAACGAACUGUGAGAUCCUCACUUUAGCCAAAGUCGGACACUCAACUGACUGUCCACCCCAGCACCCUGAGAUUAAUAUUUUUAAGACUUUUCUUCACAGGUGUGACUUUCCAAAAGAUUCACACCAUUUAUACAUUUUCUAGGAGUGUAUAAUGAGACGUCCUUGGGCUUUUUCAUCAGCACUGGCUUUAGAAGGGAUAGAGUGACUUUUAAAGGUCAAGGUAACAAGGACGGGGCCGGGUGGCUCAGUCAGUUGAGUGACCAAUUUCAGCUCAGGUCAUGAUCUCACGGUUGGUGGGUUUGAGCUCUCCUUUGGGCUCUGUGCUGACAGCUCAGAGCCUGGAGCCUGCUUCAGAUUCUGUGUCUCUCCCUAUCUCUGCCCUCCCCUGCUUGCACUCUCUCUAAAAUAAACAUUAAGAAAAAUAUUUUAAAAAUAAUAAACGUCAAGGUAACUAGGGGCGCCUGGGUGACACAGUUGAUUAAGCAUCCAACUUCAGCUCAGGUCAUGAUCUGGUGGUUCGUGAGGGCUUGAAUUUCAAGCCCCACAGCAAGCUCUGUGCUGACAGCUCAGAGCCUGGAAGCUGCUUUGGAUUCUAUGUCUCCUUCUCUUUCUGCCCCUCCCCCACUCAUGCUCUGUCUCUCUCUCUCAAAAACAAACAUUAAAAAAAUAAAUAAAUGCCAAGGUAACCACACUGCAAAUGUAUAGGGCUUCUCAUGGAUGCAGUUUCCUUGUGGUUCAUGACAAUCUUCCCCAACCAUGAUCAGUUCCCAUUCUCCAACAAUCUGUUCUUUCCUUAAAAGAGCCUUUCAGUUUGCAGCACGAGUUAGUAAUAAGUACUGCUGCCCAUUAGAGGUCACUUUCGGCUAGAUGUGAUAGAAGAUCUCUCUAAAUCUCUUAUCAGCUGACCAGCAAGUCUUGCUCUGAACACAAUAAGGAUUUGUCUGUUUCUAAAAGAACACUAGUGUCAUUAGAUAUGUCCACUUAAGCCUCAUUUAAGUCCUUAAUCCAGACUUGAAUCUGUGAUAACAACUCAAACGGUACACGCCUUUGCUAAGUUCUGCUGGAAGAAAAAUAACGACAGUGACAUCUAGUCAUAUAAGCACUAUGUUCCAGAUGACUAUCUGUUUCACAAAUAUUAACUCACUUCCCAUCUUUCAAAAACCAUACAGUGUGUGUUGGGGGGAACCCAUGAAGAGGUGAUUUCACACAGCUAGUAAGUGGUUGAACCAGAAUUCUAACCCAAAUAGUUUGUUCCAGAGUCCAAAACCACUUAUACUUAUAUACUUAUACUUAACGUAUAUACCUAUAUAUACGUAUAUACUUAUACUUAACGUAUAUACUUAUAUAUACGUAUAACGUAUAACGUAUAUACUUAUACUUAACCACUAUACUGUGUAUCAACCUGCAUGGCUUUAUUGGAGUCCCAUUUUAAUUAGAUCUUUCUAUAUCUUUCCAAACCUGGAAUCACUGGCUUCUUUAUAAAACAUCCACAUAAUGAGAUUUAAAAUCAUCAGAGGUCUUUUGGAGGUUAGCAGUGGAUGCUUAUCAGCUGUGUGCCACUGGGAAUUAGUCCAGUGGAGACAUAUCUGAGCCCAGUUUGACCUCCGUGGUUACAGGCUGGCCAGGUCCUGGGAUCAACCCCAGUAACCCAGCAGCUCCACCAACACCCUGUUCAGGUGAUCAGACAAUCUGAGGUCACCAGCUUUUCCCUGCUUGGCCCUUGCUUCCUAGAAAAGUAGCAGCUUGCUUUGGAAGCUGCUUCAAAUUAAUCCCUCAAGGUACCUGAUAAGGUUUCAGACCUUCUUUCCUUGGCGGGGGGUGGUGAAAGAGGGCAGGGGUUCUAGUGUUAGACUGACCUGCACUAGAAACCCUGUGCCCCUGCUCAGUGCUGUGUCACCUUGGGCAGAACUGCUUAACUCCGUGAGCCUGAGUUUCCUCAUCUGUGAGUACUCUCCUGGCACAAAUGUUGAGAGAAUUAGUGAUGAAUGUAAAGGAUAUUGGCAGAGGGUAGGAAGUACUUGGUAGGUUUUAUUAUUACCACUUCCUUAAAGGUACAGCCCAAUUCCCACCAAUCAGAAUAGCUGACCCUGAUGUGUCCUCGGUGGUUCUGUCCUUUUUCUCAAACACCAGUGCCUCUAACUGCCUGUGUUAUCCCUUGAGCAAUGAAAACACAUCACUCUUGCUGGCAAGUGUCAUCUCUUGUGUCUGGCCUAAUUCUCCAACUAGACUUCAGUCAAGUCUGGGGCUGCCCUUUAUACCUUUUCAUAUCCCUAGUCUUAACCAAGGACCCAAAACAGUAAGUGCUCAGUAAAUGACUGCUGAUGACAGAGACUAAUUGAAGUUACUUCACAAGUAUUUAUGGAGAUUUUACCAAGCAUCAGGCAAUGGACAAGGCUCUGAGAAAGUGAGGUGAUUAAAACCUGGCCAAAGGAACUCUUGCUCUGGCUAAAAGUUUCUGCUAAAGCCAAAACAGUUCAUGCACCUUUCCAGGCAUCCAAUUCCCAGAGAACGACUUUCUCUGUUGAGGCAAUCUGGUUCACUGUGUCUCCAACAAAAGGCAAAGCCAAGCCCACAGGCCAGAGCCCUUUUCACCGUGGAGAGUACAUACCAUGGCAAUUAGUGCCCAAGGACCUUGGUGCCAUUCGGGACCUCACUAGCUAGCUGUUCUGUCCUUAAGACCAGCCAGCAGCCCCUGAGAUGGUGAGCACAGGAGACAGUCCAUGCUCUCCCCACAAGGGGUCAGCGCAAGACCACGAGUGCUAGAGGACCUAGUCAGUGAUGGACUCCUUCCCCAGGACUCAUCCCAACCAUGCAGUAUUUGAAUGAUUUGUUCUUGGGUGGAGUGGAUGAAAAGGGAGAGAAUGGGUUGGAAAAAAAUGAAACUAUCUGUUGAAUGUGCAAGCUGCUGCAGUCAUGAAAUCAAACAAUGUUUCACUAAAUAUUUUUAAUGCAAAGAAAUCAGGUAAUUUGAGGGUUUCAAAAAACAAACACUGUCAGGAAAACAAAUGAUAACUGAAGAAAAUACUAUGCAUUAGCAAAAGCUCUACUCUUUCAUUUGCAAAAGCAAAAUGACUUUUUUUUUUUCUCCAGGAAAAGGAAGGCCUUCAGAAGUUAAAAGAAAUGCAGUUUACUGACUAAGCCCUUCUCUGCAACAGAAACAAAGAACCUUCCCUCUUAUCUGGGCUCAGAACUGGCAAGCAACCUCAAUGUGGGCACUUGAUAAAUAUUCACUGAUGAUGAAAAUGUUCACACUGCAAAGAAACCAUCCUGUUAUUUCAAGAAGCCUUCUGAAAUGCCAGUGAUUGAAGCCGGAUCUUGACUGUCCUUUGCAAAUCUUGAACAAGAAAAGCCCAGUUCAGCUGGUCACGUGGAACAAAACAGAACAAGAACAGUGGAUUAAUCUCUUCUGGUGUCUGGGGUUGUGACUGGCAAACUGAGGCAGUGGGUAGGGUUUUGAAAUAACCACUCCCAACCCAUCCA